RNAcentral lists this ribosomal RNA (253 nucleotides) under uncultured bacterium. Its description in RNAcentral is "partial 16S ribosomal RNA". It matches the Rfam family "Bacterial small subunit ribosomal RNA", at positions 524 to 776 of the family's 1533-position model. The record is from RNAcentral.
GACGAAGGUGGCGAGCGUUGUUCGGAAUCACUGGGCAUAAAGCGCACGUAGGCGGCGACGUAAGUUGGGUGUGAAAUCCCUCGGCUCAACCGGGGAACUGCGUCUGAUACUGGAUGGCUUGAAUUCGGGAGAGGGAUGCGGAAUUCCAGGUGUAGCGGUGAAAUGCGCAGAUAUCAGGAGGAACACCGAUGGCGAAGGCAGGACUCUGGGCCGAUACUGACGCUGAGGAGCGAAAGCGUGGGGAGCGAACAGG